AGUGAACGCUGGCGGUAGGCCUAACACAUGCAAGCCGAACGGCAGCACAGGAGAGCUUGCUCUCUGGGUGGCGAGUGGCGGACGGGUGAGGAAUACAUCGGAAUCUACUCUGUCGUGGGGGAUAACGUAGGGAAACUUACGCUAAUACCGCAUACGACCUACGGGUGAAAGCAGGGGACCUUCAGGCCUUGCGCGAUUGAAUGAGCCGAUGUCGGAUUAGCUAGUUGGGGGGGUAAAGGCCCACCAAGGCGACGAUCCGUAGCUGGUCUGAGAGGAUGAUCAGCCACACUGGAACUGAGACACGGUCCAGACUCCUACGGGAGGCAGCAGUGGGGAAUAUUGGACAAUGGGCGCAAGCCUGAUCCAGCCAUACCGCGUGGGUGAAGAAGGCCUUCGGGUUGUAAAGCCCUUUUGUUGGGAAAGAAAUCCAGCUGGCUAAUACCCGGUUGGGAUGACGGUACCCAAAGAAUAAGCACCGGCUAACUUCGUGCCAGCAGCCGCCGUAA
RNAcentral lists this ribosomal RNA (506 nucleotides) under uncultured bacterium. Its description in RNAcentral is "partial 16S ribosomal RNA". It matches the Rfam family "Bacterial small subunit ribosomal RNA", at positions 29 to 523 of the family's 1533-position model. The record is from RNAcentral.